Molecule: ribosomal RNA, 468 nt
Filed under: uncultured bacterium
Lineage: Bacteria
Description: partial 16S ribosomal RNA
Rfam family: Bacterial small subunit ribosomal RNA
Source: RNAcentral
GACGAACGCUGGCGGCGUGCUUAACACAUGCAAGUCGAACGGAAAGGCCCUGCUUUUGUGGGGUGCUCGAGUGGCGAACGGGUGAGUAACACGUGAGUAACCUGCCCUUGACUUUGGGAUAACUUCAGGAAACUGGGGCUAAUACCGGAUAGGAGCUCCUGCUGCAUGGUGGGGGUUGGAAAGUUUCGGCGGUUGGGGAUGGACUCGCGGCUUAUCAGCUUGUUGGUGGGGUAGUGGCUUACCAAGGCUUUGACGGGUAGCCGGCCUGAGAGGGUGACCGGCCACAAUGGGACUGAGGUACGGACCAGACUCCUACGGGAGGCAGCAGGGGGGAAUAUUGCACAAUGGGCGGAAGCCUGAUGCAGCAGCGCCGCGUGCGGGAUAACGGCCUUUGGGUUGUAAACCGCUUUCGCCUGUGACGAAGCGUGAGUGACGGUAAUGGGUAAAGAAGCACCGGCUAACUACGUG